Molecule: ribosomal RNA, 378 nt
Filed under: uncultured bacterium
Lineage: Bacteria
Description: bacterial SSU rRNA
Rfam family: Bacterial small subunit ribosomal RNA
Source: RNAcentral
UAAUACGUAGGGUGCGAGCGUUGUCCGGAAUUACUGGGCGUAAAGAGCUCGUAGGCGGCUUGUCGCGUUGUCCGUGAAAAUUUACAGCUCAACUGUGAACUUGCGGGCGAUACGGGCAGGCUAGAGUACUGCAGGGGAGACUGGAAUUCCUGGUGUAGCGGUGAAAUGCGCAGAUAUCAGGAGGAACACCGGUGGCGAAGGCGGGUCUCUGGGCAGUAACUGACGCUGAGGAGCGAAAGCGUGGGGAGCGAACAGGAUUAGAUACCCUGGUAGUCCACGCCGUAAACGGUGGGCGCUAGGUGUGGGUUUCCUUCCACGGGAUCCGUGCCGUAGCUAACGCAUUAAGCGCCCCGCCUGGGGAGUACGGCCGCAAGGCUA